UACGUAGGGUGCGAGCGUUGUCCGGAAUUACUGGGCGUAAAGAGCUCGUAGGCGGUUUGUCACGUCUGCUGUGAAAUCCCGAGGCUCAACCUCGGGCCUGCAGUGGGUACGGGCAGACUGGAGUGCGGUAGGGGAGAAUGGAAUUCCUGGUGUAGCGGUGGAAUGCGCAGAUAUCAGGAGGAACACCAAUAGCGAAGGCAGCUCGCUGGGACGGUAUUGACGCUAAGGCGCGAAAGCGUGGGGAGCGAACAGG
This 253-nucleotide ribosomal RNA is filed under the name uncultured bacterium. RNAcentral's name for it is "partial 16S ribosomal RNA". It matches the Rfam family "Bacterial small subunit ribosomal RNA", at positions 524 to 776 of the family's 1533-position model. The record is from RNAcentral.